GGAAAAAAGGCGCCUGAGAGGGGAUAUGAUAACUUUAUACAAAUAUAUUUGGGGCAAGUAUGAACCUUUAUCUGGAAAUCUAUUCAUAAACAGGGCUAUACAUAGGACACGAGGUCACACAUUUAGGCUGGAAGAAAGGAGAUUUCAUCUAAGGCAAAGAAAAGGUUUUUUUACAGUAAGAGCAAUAAGGAUAUGGAAUUCUCUGCCUGAAGAGGUGGUUUUGUCAGAG
Non-coding RNA from Pelobates cultripes (western spadefoot toad), 229 nucleotides. NCBI's taxonomy places the organism in Eukaryota, Metazoa, Chordata, Amphibia, Anura, Pelobatidae. The record is from the annotation of a GenBank genome assembly.